Molecule: ribosomal RNA, 561 nt
Filed under: uncultured bacterium
Lineage: Bacteria
Description: bacterial SSU rRNA
Rfam family: Bacterial small subunit ribosomal RNA
Source: RNAcentral
GGGCCCGCACAAGCAGUGGAGUAUGUGGUUUAAUUCGAAGCAACGCGAAGAACCUUACCAGGGCUUGACAUCCCUUGACGACGGCAGAGAUGCCGUUUCCCUUCGGGGCAAGGAGACAGGUGGUGCAUGGUUGUCGUCAGCUCGUGUCGUGAGAUGUUGGGUUAAGUCCCGCAACGAGCGCAACCCCUACUGCCAGUUGCCAGCAUUAAGUUGGGCACUCUGGCGGGACUGCCGUUGACAAAACGGAGGAAGGUGGGGAUGACGUCAAAUCAUCAUGCCCCUUAUGUCCUGGGCUACACACGUACUACAAUGGCCGCAACAGAGGGCUGCAACGUCGCGAGGCGAAGCGAAUCCCAAAAAGCGGUCUCAGUUCGGAUUGCAGGCUGAAACCCGCCUGCAUGAAGUCGGAAUUGCUAGUAAUGGCAGGUCAGCAUACUGCCGUGAAUACGUUCCCGGGCCUUGUACACACCGCCCGUCACACCAUGAGAGUCUGUAACACCCGAAGUCAGUAGUCUAACCGCAAGGAGGACGCUGCCGAAGGUGGGACCGAUGAUUGGGGUG